GUCACUGCACUCCAGCUUGGGCGAGAGAGAGAGAGACUCCAUCUCAAAACAAACAAACAAAAAAAUUAGUUUCAACAUGACUAAUUACCUCUGCAAAAGGUUAUAUUCACAGAUGUAUAAGAGGCUAGAUUCUGAUCUAUGGAGUGUAACAAUUGGUCACUUUUUAAUCAACUGAAAUUCAUUUGGUAGAAUGGAAAUGAAAUUCCACCACUAGUUUCCUUGCGAGGCUGACAGGUCAAGCUGGGGUCCAUAAGUCCCUGAAAUUGCAUGCAAAAUUUGGUGUCUGUUUCUUGGUAGAAUUUUUAAAGAGAUCCAUGACUCAAAGACCCACCAUCUAAAUGGCCUUCCUGUGGAGAUACUUGAGCACCUUAAGAGAGAAAUACAUGUUACACAAGCCAAGAAUAUCAAAUCUGCUUUGCUUCUCUAAGACAACAUCAGAAAAAAAUGAAAUACCUUUUCUCUUCUUUUUAGAGUCAACAACAAUGGUUCCAUGAACUGAUGGAGAAAACAAAUGCCUCUUAUUAGAGGCAACAACGAUAGUUCCAUGAACUGAUGGAGAAAAUGAAUUGAAUGACUCUGGGACCACAUUUUCCAGUGGCAUAGUCAUCAGAGGAAGGAGAGCCUACCCAGUGUGAUGUGAAUAAAUGGAUGAGGUUCUACUUUGUUACUGCUUCAUGGCCCAGUUUCCUAAUGCACGUUACGGAUUGUGCAAGUUUACAACAUCAUCUAACUAACUGAACCCCUACAAUGUGAGAAGACUCUGACAAUUGCCUUUCUCAAGAACACCACCUUGGCCACUUCACCUUUCUCUGAAGAGCACCACUCGUCUUUCCCCGGAUGGAUGCAGGAUGCUGCCUCCACAGGGCCACAGAAGCCAUUUUUCCAAGAAGCACCGGCUUCUUGGGCUUUUAGCUUAAUUGGUUUCCAUGUUAGGACCUAGACUUCUGUCCCUCCCUUAUUUUCCCACCAAUCCCCACAGCAGAAUGCAGUCCUCUUCCAAAUAUCUCCAACAGUGGACCGCUCAUCUUCCCGUCAAGCUGUCAGUGAGAGUCUAUUAAAUGGCCCAAUCUUGAAAUCCUUCUGAUGAAGACAAAUGAGAAAUAAACUUAUGAAACAGCUCCGAGUUACA
Molecule: long non-coding RNA, 1129 nt
Organism: Macaca mulatta (Rhesus monkey)
Lineage: Eukaryota; Metazoa; Chordata; Mammalia; Primates; Cercopithecidae
Source: RefSeq, a predicted model, not a curated record